Molecule: unclassified non-coding RNA, 2687 nt
Filed under: Cimex lectularius (bed bug)
Lineage: Eukaryota; Metazoa; Arthropoda; Insecta; Hemiptera; Cimicidae
Description: uncharacterized LOC106673123, transcript variant X2
Source: RNAcentral
GUACAUUACCUUUUGAAAGGUUUCCAUCAUAUGUAAGACACAAAAGUUAAAUAAUGAACAUUGGUUUUUCGUGUACUGAGCUUGUUUUUUGUUUUUCCUUGUUUUUCAUUCACGGGAAAACCGAGCUUAUCGUUCCUACGCUCGGCCAUGGAACUGUUCUGGAACUUGCCGUGGGAAUGACUGGCUACUCAGCCAUGGUCCUGCCCCUUUCCUUGAGAAUCCAGUCGAAACUUCUAGGAUACAAGCUGAAUAAAAACACAGAAAUGUUCAUUCUCAUGCUAGGAAUGUACAUGUACUUAAUCACAUCGAUCGUGGAAUUUUACACCUUGUUUCAGACAAUAAUGUCAAAAUCAUUAAUAGUCAAACCGAAUCAUAACUUGCUCGUAAUUUUGAAGAUUUUCUUUUCUCUCACGUUGGCAAUGGUUUUGGUCAUGGACGCCAACCGUGUGACAAACAGUUCAGUACGAAAAUAAGAGCGGGCACAUUACAAAACUAAAAAUACACUUUUUCAACACAAAAACACCUUUUUUCCUUAGUUUGAUAUGUUUCUUAUAUUUGACAUACUUUUUAAUUUGUAAAAAAAUUAAACAUGUGUUUGUUUUCUUGUGGUUCGUACUAGCCAAUAAACCAUGUAUGACUACCAAAACCUUUCUAUUUACUUGAAAAUCACGGAAUUCAUGAUGAGCAUUAUUGUAAGUUCGUUUCAUAUAAAGACUGAAUUUUCAAUUCCACAAAUCGGCUACGGCACGAAUCUCAAUCUUUUAAUCCUCUCAACUUCUUUUUCUGCUAUGAUCGUCCCCUUCGCCGUUAGGAUCCAAGCUUCUAUAGUUAAAGAUUUUCCGUUUGAGCCCAUCACUGAAUUGUUAUUUACUGUAGCCGGGACGAUGUGUUACGCGGCGGGUGGCCUCGUAACGAUAAUGGAGUGGCGGAACAAACAGUCACUGGACACCGUUUUCUUCAGAACUACUUUCAACGAAAUAUUUUUAGCGAAAGGUAUAAUUUCUUCUCUUCUAAGUUUAAUCGUUAUGGUCGACAUCUACGUAGAAUAUAAAUAUUCCAAGGGAAGACUCGAUUCGCUUUAUUAAACAAUUUUAUUGGUCAUCUGAGUGUUAUGAAUGUUUGUUAAAAAAAAUGUGACGUUAUAAAUAUAUAUUUGAAGGAAUAUUUACAAUGUUUUAACUGAAAUGAUACAACUUUGUUGUGGUUUGUUUAAACUUCAUCGCUCAUCAAAACAAAGUAGGCGUCGAUGCAGAAACCAGCAGCGAGGAGAAUAGACGAUAUGCCUUUUAUGAGUAGUAUCUCUGUGAAAAACCGCCUGAAUAUAACAGCGCGCACUUUUUGCGUCCUCAUCCAACAUUGGAUCGUGACGGCAGAAGCGACCAAGUAGACCAUGAAUCCCAUGAACAACAAAGCACACUCCUAGAACUGCAAGAAUUAAUAACUGCGGACAGGAUUUAUUAGUAAAAUUUCUAAAUUUUUCUUACCGCGACUUUCCCCACGCCGGGUCUGAGAAUGGAAGACUGCAGCCUGAGCGCCACAGGGAUGAUCAUAGCAGAAUAGACAGUCAUCAUAGCGGCAACCUCCCACUGAGUUCCGUACCCGAGCGACGGCACUACGAACUCCGUUUUAGUGUGUGCCACCAUCAAAAGUAUAAUAACUGCCUGAAAAAACGUUCCAUCCUCGACACUCAAAUACAUUCCUACAGAUAUACAACUUACCAGUUCAAACAGCCUGAAGAAUACGAGAACCUUGUCUGAUUCAUAGUAGUUGUUGCUCUCACUUUCAGUCAUCUCAAAGGGAAAAAAACCCGGCUAUUUUAUUCAAGAAGUUAACCUUUUUUCAAAUUACGAACAGUCGGACAUUAACACCGGCUUCCAUAUGAUUUCAUAAAAUAUAUUUACCAAAAGAAAAAUUGUUCUAUUUAUUUCAACUAAAAGCUUUAAAAAAAUAAGAAUAAAAAGAUAUGCUUUUUGGGCAUAGGUGCUUGGUUUGCGUACGCGUUGCCCAGACGGUAACUGAGUUUUGUAACAUAAAAAAUUCUAUAUUUAACGAAAAAAAGUGUGUUUCAAGACUUUGGCGAUUGUACUUAUCAUGUACCACCUCGGCGAAAAACUGGACACAGACGAGUACCCGACAGAAUUCCAUAUGAAGGCCAUGACGACCACGUACUCGACGAUGAUAAUUCCGACGACGUUUCGUUUCGAGCUGGAUCUAUUCGAACUUCAAGACAUGGGGAUCUUACUUAACUUAUACGUGAACACACUUGGGACUUUGAUGUAUUUCGGUGCGUGCUUUUUCACCGUUUCCGCCACGGCGGGCCUCUACGUCGUAGAACGGAACGACUACAAUAUCGCCGAAGAUAACAGAAACGACUACGUGAUUGUGAAAUCAGUCUUGGCUGGUAUUUUAUGCGUUUUUUAUAUUCUUGAUUCUAUCCUGAUUUUUAUCAGGUGGGUAAUGGAGAAAAGAAGGCGAAAUUCAAGCUUAUCAGAUAGCAUCGAUAUGUAGCAAUUCAUGAAAACAAAAGGAUUUGUACGUGCAAUUUUGUUUAAAUGUAUCGAACGCAAGAUACAUUUAAAAUAUCCAUUGGGAUUGAAAAUUUAAUCAGUGUUUCUAGGGGGUAAGGGAAUACUUACUUGUGGUAUUCUCAAUUUUACUCUAAAAUCACAUACAAAUAUAUCAACUGC